This 107-nucleotide small RNA is filed under the name Marmota monax (woodchuck). The record is from RNAcentral. Lineage: Eukaryota; Metazoa; Chordata; Mammalia; Rodentia; Sciuridae.
GCUGGGUACGAGGAUGCCUGUCUGUAAUCCCAGCAACUUGGGAGGCUGAGGCAGGAGGAUUGCAGAUUCAAGGGCAGCCUCUGCAACUUAGCAAGACCCUGUCUCAA